UACGUAGGUGGCAAGCGUUGUCCGGAUUUACUGGGUGUAAAGGGCGUGCAGCCGGGCUGACAAGUCAGAUGUGAAAUCCCGCGGCUCAACCGCGGAACUGCAUUUGAAACUGUCAGUCUUGAGUACCGGAGAGGUCAUCGGAAUUCCUUGUGUAGCGGUGAAAUGCGUAGAUAUAAGGAAGAACACCAGUGGCGAAGGCGGAUGACUGGACGGCAACUGAUGGUGAGGCGCGAAAGCGUGGGGAGCAAACAGG
RNAcentral lists this ribosomal RNA (253 nucleotides) under uncultured bacterium. Its description in RNAcentral is "partial 16S ribosomal RNA". It matches the Rfam family "Bacterial small subunit ribosomal RNA", at positions 524 to 776 of the family's 1533-position model. The record is from RNAcentral.